This 737-nucleotide ribosomal RNA is filed under the name uncultured Salinivibrio sp. RNAcentral describes it as "bacterial SSU rRNA". It matches the Rfam family "Bacterial small subunit ribosomal RNA", at positions 583 to 1319 of the family's 1533-position model. Lineage: Bacteria; Pseudomonadati; Pseudomonadota; Gammaproteobacteria; Vibrionales; Vibrionaceae. The record is from RNAcentral.
UUAAGUCAGAUGUGAAAGCCCGGGGCUCAACCUCGGAACCGCAUUUGAAACUGGCAGGCUAGAGUCUUGUAGAGGGGGGUAGAAUUUCAGGCGUAGCGGUGAAAUGCGUAGAGAUCUGAAGGAAUACCAGUGGCGAAGGCGGCCCCCUGGACAAAGACUGACGCUCAGAUGCGAAAGCGUGGGUAGCAAACAGGAUUAGAUACCCUGGUAGUCCACGCCGUAAACGCUGUCUACUUGGAGGUUGAGGUUUAAGACUUUGGCUUUCGGCGCUAACGCAUUAAGUAGACCGCCUGGGGAGUACGGCCGCAAGGUUAAAACUCAAAUGAAUUGACGGGGGCCCGCACAAGCGGUGGAGCAUGUGGUUUAAUUCGAUGCAACGCGAAGAACCUUACCUACUCUUGACAUCCAGCGAAGCCUUUAGAGAUAGAGGCGUGCCUUCGGGAGCGCUGAGACAGGUGCUGCAUGGCUGUCGUCAGCUCGUGUUGUGAAAUGUUGGGUUAAGUCCCGCAACGAGCGCAACCCUUAUCCUUGUUUGCCAGCACGUAAUGGUGGGAACUCCAGGGAGACUGCCGGUGAUAAACCGGAGGAAGGUGGGGACGACGUCAAGUCAUCAUGGCCCUUACGAGUAGGGCUACACACGUGCUACAAUGGCAGAUACAGAGGGCAGCGAAGCUGCGAAGUGGAGCGAAUCCCUUAAAGUUUGUCGUAGUCCGGAUUGGAGUCUGCAACUCGACUCC